GUUCCACCAACUGGGGACCAAUCACUCAAAUAUACGAGCUUAUGGAGGCCAUUCUCACAUAAACUAUCACAAAAGAAAUACAUAGUUGAAAAAAAGUUGGACAUGAUUCUUUAACUCAAGAAUGAAGAUCAGAAAGUCUUCUCCAAGCUCCACUCCUAAAACAACCAGAGGAUCCUAUCUCUUCCUGUGCCUUUGCUGGAACUUCAAGUACAAUAUUGAAGAGAUAUGGAGAGUUGACAGUCUUGUCUUGUUCCUGAUUUUAGAGGAAUCUCUUCCUCUCCUGGUGGGUACUGGUCCAAGGUUCCCUUCUGGUGGAUGCAGGCAUGUCCAAUACUCUGAUGGCUCUCCUCUUCCCGUGGGUGGAGGCAGAACUAGUAUUGGGGCCUUGGAAGUCUCUGGGUGGGCUGGACCACCGGGAUGGGACCCCCAGUGGGCAGUGCCCAGACCUCAGGCGCCUCUGAGCCGGGCACAGAAGGUGGGCCAGAAACAGGCCCAGGCUAACUUCGUACCAUGGGCAGAGAAAGGGAUUAGGAUGCUGGCAGUUUGUGGGUGGGCUGGACCGCCAGGAUGGGAUCCCCAGUGCCACAAAAUUAUUAAAGUAAAUUAAAAUAACCAAAGAAGAUCUGAGUAAAAAAAUGCAAUGUUGCUUCUGAAGUAGUUACUGCACA
Molecule: long non-coding RNA, 668 nt
Filed under: Cricetulus griseus (Chinese hamster)
Lineage: Eukaryota; Metazoa; Chordata; Mammalia; Rodentia; Cricetidae
Description: lncRNA (ENSCGRG00015029544.1)
Source: RNAcentral